AAUAUAGCACAUUUGAAAACUUAUAUAUACCUUGAAUAUGGCAAGGAGUAUCUACCGGGAGCCGUAAAUUUCCGACUAUAAGUGAUAUUAGUAUAGGCU
This 99-nucleotide non-coding RNA is filed under the name Clostridium beijerinckii. RNAcentral's name for it is "Purine". It matches the Rfam family "Purine riboswitch aptamer". From Rfam's summary of the family: Riboswitches are metabolite binding domains within certain messenger RNAs that serve as precision sensors for their corresponding targets. Allosteric rearrangement of mRNA structure is mediated by ligand binding, and this results in modulation of gene expression. A class of riboswitches that selectively recognises guanine and becomes saturated at concentrations as low as 5 nM. Lineage: Bacteria; Bacillati; Bacillota; Clostridia; Eubacteriales; Clostridiaceae. The record is from RNAcentral.